UUUUCCGGUUGAUCCUGCCGGAGGUCACUGCUAUCGGAGUACGACUUAGCCAUGCGAGUCACAGGGACUUCGGUCACUGGCGUACGGCUCAGUAACACGUGGGCAACCUACCCUCAGGACAGGCAUAACCCCGGGAAACUGGGGGCUAAUUCCUGAUAGGCACCCUCAACUGGAAUGUGUCGGUGUCGAAAGCUCCGGCGCCUGAGGAUGGGCCUGCGNCCGAUUAGGUUGUUGGCGGGGUAACAGCCCACCAAGCCGACGAUCGGUACGGGCAGUGAGAGCUGUAGCCCGGAGAUGGGGACUGAGACAAGGCCCCAGGCCCUACGGGGCGCAGCAGGCGCGAAACCUUCACAAUGCUCGAAAGAGUGAUGAGGGUACUCCGAGUGCCAGUGCUUAGCACUGGCUUUUCUGCAGCGUAAAUAGUUGCAGGAAUAAGGGCUGGGCAAGACCGGUGCCAGCCGCCGCGGUAACACCGGCAGCCCUAGUGGUGACCGCUUUUAUUGGGCCUAAAGCGUUCGUAGCCGGGCCGGUAAGUCCUUGGGAAAUCCUGCGUCUCAAGCGCGGGAUUCUAAGGAAACUACC
Molecule: ribosomal RNA, 582 nt
Filed under: uncultured archaeon
Lineage: Archaea
Description: bacterial SSU rRNA
Rfam family: Archaeal small subunit ribosomal RNA
Source: RNAcentral